UUCUGACGAUAAAAUAUUGCUUCUCUUAGAGCUCUGAUAGCAGUGCAAAGCGGCGUCCCUCCUGCAGCAAAUUCGCAAUUCCAUUUGGCCUCGCCCUUCAAAUGUCAGCAGUGGAGAGAAUUGGAGGAUGUCCUUUUGAUUUAAUGACCAAUUUCCAGACAUCUACUCUGUUUUCAAUUCCUCUCAGCACCAUGAAUCCAUAUUCCUAUCAAGCUCCAUGCCCAAAAUCCAUUUCCGUCACUCCCUUUCCUAGAUCACAUAUCUCCGCGUUCGCGAUUUUCAACCCGAUUCCAGAACCAACAAAAAUUUUUUUUCCUUGUCCCAACCUGUAUUAUACCAGGUGGAAUCAUCAUAAAGCAAUAUGAAAGCAAGCCCCCAAUCUUCUCCAAUUUGAUCAAACUGCCUAGGACUCCCGCUGCGAGAAAAGCUACCUCUUGCCUGUAUAAUACACCACGUUUGUUAACCUCCACCUCACGCCUCGUCGCUGCAGCCCAGCAUUCCAAAUACUCCAUUUUCAGCAAUAUCGCACUCACUGCCACCAUGCGCGUCUAACCCAUUCUCACCCGGUUCCCCUGAAACACAUUUCUUAGUUGUGGAAUUUAUGGCGCAAAAUUCACUAUACAACUCUCCAUCCUCACGGUGGAUACUCCCCUCCCCAACCCCGGAACCUUGGGACAAAAAUGGGUCGUUGCGGAAUUUCAUCGGUGUUCUGCGAUCUGCAUCGAGGGUAUUAUCGUCACUAUCUUCACUUUUGACAUUCACCAUACUGCCGGCGCCCCAGCUGGAGUCCUCUGAAUCUACAAUUAUCAUCUCAUUCUUGGUUCUCUUCGAGGUGCUAUUGGUUCUGUCUGUAGGCUUGCGCUUCCGGGUAGAGAGGGUCUUGAUGCCAAACGUGCAUUUUACUUUAGUGGGAGUUUUGGGGCUCGGCUUUUUAGGAGUAGGCCCAUUGUUGCCGGCUUCCUGCAGAGACGAAGUUCCAGUUCCUGGUGUUGGAUUCCCAUUUGGGUUGAUGCCGUUGGCUUUCACCAGGCGCUCGUAGCGCUUGGCUCUGUGGUUUGAUGGUCAGCACUCAUUGCAGGUCACAUUGUGACAUGAUGACGAAGGAGUAGGGUUUGACAAGAUAGCGGGACCGAGAAGGAGUGUGCAUCGAAUGGCAAGGUAUGAGAAAAUGUAUGAUAUGUCCACCUAAAGAUUUCUCCAUCGUGAGCAAGUACACAAAUACUCUGAGGCCAGCAUAUAGUGUCUGAUAAUACGAUGAAAUGAAACCUAUGAAGCGAAUGGAAAGUUACCUUUCCACUAUUCGAGUACUUGACACAUUUCAGCAAGAAAUGAAGUUGUUCAUCACUGGUGGCAGCAGGCAUUUUGAAGACACUCCGUUUAUUUGAAAGAUGAUACUGCAAUGGCAAGAAAGAAAUUAUACGAGUUAAAUUUGUGGAUGAGGUCUUAGGUUUAGAUCAGUUCGCUAUACGUGACCAGGGAGUGAGAGAAGAGUGACGGUUGUCUAAAUGAAAUCUUAUCAGAGGCAAAUGUCAGCACAGGACCUGAGACUAUAAUGCUGAAGCAACAUCUCAUACCUGCCAUUGACUCUCACUCAGCAAGGAGAAUAAUUGACAUGACCUGUUGGCAACAGAGGAGACAUAUGAAUAGGUCUUGGUAAAUGUGGUGAACAGUCGAUGGGUUAAAGGAAUUGUUCUUUGGGGGGAGGAGAAGACCAACAGGUUGGUACAAGUGCGGUGAAUGAAGAGAUGGCAACAGGCAGAAGUUGAAAGAAAGGCAAAUAUGACACUCGAGACACACAUAGUUAUAACACAAUGGAUGAACACAUAUGUGUCCCGUAUUUUUGUGAAUAAUGGGAUUCAUAUAUAACUCACCAAAAUGCUUUGAAGUGGGAUUGAGCUUGAGCUAUAUUGGUAUUACCGGAGAUAAAUUCGUAGCUAUCAGCUAGGCCAUGGCAAUUUUUCAACCUGAGGUCAUGAAU
Molecule: small RNA, 1978 nt
Filed under: Histoplasma capsulatum
Lineage: Eukaryota; Fungi; Ascomycota; Eurotiomycetes; Onygenales; Ajellomycetaceae
Also listed under: 1 other name
Description: hypothetical RNA
Source: RNAcentral